This 1413-nucleotide ribosomal RNA is filed under the name Triticum aestivum (bread wheat). RNAcentral's name for it is "partial small subunit ribosomal RNA". The record is from RNAcentral. Lineage: Eukaryota; Viridiplantae; Streptophyta; Magnoliopsida; Poales; Poaceae.
AUGCGCACCAAGCACUUGAUACCCAACCACGCCGCGGGGCUCACCUACGCGAACGCCUACGCCGCCGCCCGCGAGGGCAGCGGCGGCGGCAUCGACCCGUUCGAGGCGUUCCCCGACGCGGUGCUCGGGCUGAUCGUCUCCAAGCUGCCCUUCAGGUCCGCCGUCGCCGCGUCCGCCAUCUCGCGCCGUUGGCGCGGCGCGGUGGCCACCGCGCCGGUGCUCGACCUCGACUUCGCCGCGGCGUUCCCCGCCGCGCCCCGCCGCAGGGCGGCGUUCGCGGCCGUUGCGGCCGCAGCGCUCGCGGGCUCGCGGCGCCACCCGCUCCGCCGCCUCCGCCUCGCGCUCGACGGCUUCUUCGACCAGGCCUUCGCCGCCUCCGCGGCCAACCACGUCGCCUCCUGGCUCGCCGCCGCCGCGGCGCGGGGCGUCGAGCAGCUGGAGCUCCACCUCCCUCGCUCCCGCCUCGCCGUGCUCCCUCCCUCCCUCCUCGCUUGCACCGACCUCACGGCGCUCACCCUUCGCCUCGACCACAACGCCCUUCCGCUCCCUUCCCUCUGCCCCCUCACCCGCCUCUCCCGCCUUCACCUCGCCUCCGUCUCGCUCGUUGGCUGCGGUGACUUCUUCGAAGACCUCUGCUCUCACUGCACGCAGCUCAGCUGCCUGAUCCUUGAACAGUGCCACAUCGGUGCACUCCGACUAGCCGGCGCGCCGCAGCUUUGCUCGCUUGACAUCGCCAGCUGUUCGUGGACGGAGCAGUCGUCUGUUGCCAUUUCUGAGAUGCCGGCGUUGCGCACUCUCCGCUACUCGGGUGCGAUGGCGAACAGGCACAUGAUUAAUGGCGCCGAUUCCUUGGACGAAGUCGUUUUGGCCAUUGAGAAGCCACAAGCUCUCCUGGAGCCUAAUCUCAGAGAGCUGCUUGCGUUGGUUGGAAACGUACGGAGCCUAGUGCUUUCGUCCUGGUGCAUUGAGCAAUUUGCGCGUCCUGAGGAAUGGUCGAAGGUGAGGCUGGACAAGGUGAGACGCUUGGCAUGCAUAAUAGAGAGGAGGGAAGAAGGUGCUUUGUCCAUUGCACCAUUGCUUACGAGUUGCCCCAAUGUGCAAGAACUUUCUGUGUCGGUCGUGCCAUCGCAGUCCAAGCGGAGACGGUGCAGCGACAGUGAAGUUCAGUAUCGUGUUAUUGGUGGUAGAGGGAUGAUCGUCAGGAAUCUCAGGGAAAUUAGGAUGGAGUACAUUGAUGAGAGCAAGAGUGGAUUGGAUCUGGUUAAGCUUCUGCUCAAGAAGGCUCAGAUGUUGGAGAUGAUGACAAUUGUGCCUUCCAUGGAUGGCCUUGAGCAGGCCAAGUUCAGGCGCAGGGUGUUGAAGUUCAGAAAAGCUUCCAGGAAUGUCAACAUCCAGUUUUGUGCCACUGCAUGA